AGGACCACCAGGAGGGAAUCAUGUCUAUCUCUGUUGUGUCAUUGUUGUGUUAGUGUUGCCUUUCAACACUUGAUGAAUGCUAAUGUAGCCACCUUGGGGUUAUUCAUCGUGAUGGAAAUCAGGGACACCAUGAAUCACGGAAAUCCCCAGCUGAGAUACUAUGGGAGAAUUUCUCCUUGACUGAGAUGAGUUAUCUUACUCCCAAUGAGAGAGCUCAUUCAUUUUAUAUAUUGUCAGGUGCUGCUCUAGUGACUUUUCUCCCUCAUCUGUACCUUCCAGUGUGCCAAACUGAGAUAAAAAUAUUCUCCUCUGGGGAAAUUUCAAGAUCAAUAAAUGGUAACUUUCUACUACCAUCCCUGCAGAAGUGAAGUGGAAGGAGGAGAGACACAGAGGACUCAGUCAUUUUGUAUUUUAAAUUUCUCAGAUAGCUAUGACCAAAAGAUUAAUCACCAAGUGUCCAGGCCACUGAUGUUAAACUUCUUUGUAUUUAGUUUGGUUGUUCUUCAGAAAGCAAACAAUUUGUUGUUAGAAUUAUACCUCCACAAAAUUCUGCUCCUAUAUCACUACCCAGAUGAUUCUGGGUUCUUAAAAUCUCUAUCAAUUGGGCAUAAGCUCUCCUUAGUUAUAUCAUGUUAAGUCCACUUACCAGAAAUUAUUUUGUGAUAUUUUCUGUGGUUAUGUCUUAUUGCCCCUUUGAACCCCCAAGUUCUAUGAUGACAGGGAUCUGAUAAAAUUUUUUUAUGUCUCUGAAUACUUAGUAUUAUGCCCUGCCCAUUGAAGGCACUUAAUAAUUAUUUGCUAUUUUGUUUUCAUAUUAUGUUGUUUUGUUAUGAUGAUUUAUUUUUA
RNAcentral lists this long non-coding RNA (846 nucleotides) under Monodelphis domestica (gray short-tailed opossum). RNAcentral describes it as "lncRNA (ENSMODG00000051120.1)". Lineage: Eukaryota; Metazoa; Chordata; Mammalia; Didelphimorphia; Didelphidae. The record is from RNAcentral.